UUAUAAAAUAAUUCGAAAAAUUAAUCAGGAAUAACCUUUGUGUUUUGAUUUAUAUAAUUGAUAUAAAUCAAAAUAUCGUGUUAUUUCUGAUUAAUUUUUCGAAUUACUUUAUUUAGGUGUUGAGAGAACUUUGGUGACCCCAUAGUUUAAGUGUCUUUAAAAAGUACAUAGUGAGCAUUGGUCGUUACAUACAAACGUUCACCUAAAUUGUCCCAGUCAAUGAAUGAUUUUAAUGUGUCAAUCAAUGGCCACAGCUACA
This 259-nucleotide long non-coding RNA is filed under the name Mytilus galloprovincialis (Mediterranean mussel). Lineage: Eukaryota; Metazoa; Mollusca; Bivalvia; Mytilida; Mytilidae. The record is from RNAcentral.